GCGCUCUUGUCGGAGUGCCCACUUGGGCUGAGACCGCGUUACGCGGGAUCCGUUGAACCUGAUCAGGUUAGAACCUGCGAAGGGAACAAGGGUAAUGUACCC
Molecule: non-coding RNA, 102 nt
Filed under: Rheinheimera sp. SA_1
Lineage: Bacteria; Pseudomonadati; Pseudomonadota; Gammaproteobacteria; Chromatiales; Chromatiaceae
Also listed under: 1 other name
Description: TPP riboswitch aptamer (THI element)
Rfam family: TPP riboswitch aptamer (THI element)
About the family: Vitamin B(1) in its active form thiamin pyrophosphate (TPP) is an essential coenzyme that is synthesised by coupling of pyrimidine and thiazole moieties in bacteria. The previously detected thiamin-regulatory element, thi box was extended, resulting in a new, highly conserved RNA secondary structure, the THI element, which is widely distributed in eubacteria and also occurs in some archaea.
Source: Rfam by way of RNAcentral